Prosopis cineraria is the source of this 940-nucleotide RNA transcript. RefSeq lists it as uncharacterized. The record is from RefSeq and is a predicted model, not a curated record. NCBI's taxonomy places the organism in Eukaryota, Viridiplantae, Streptophyta, Magnoliopsida, Fabales, Fabaceae. The transcript has 4 exons.
AUAGCUUCAAAGCGAGUCUUGUUUAUAACCACCCAAGGUAAGGCUGUAGGGAAAGAGAGCCAUCAUUCCAGAGAACAAGAGAAAAGAAGAGAGAAAACUGGUAAGCAAUAGCUGCAAUUAAUGGCAACGCCAAAGCAGCUAUAUGAGCAGCAACAAUCAAAUGUUCAGAGAGUGAAGAACUCGGGAAUUAUUAGCUCAAACCAGAGCCCAAUAAGGGAUGACAAGGAAGAGGAGAUGGCCAGAUCAGCUCUGGCCAUGUUCCGAGCGAAGGAAGAAGAAAUUGAUAGGAAGAAAAUGGAGGUAAGGGACAAGGUUCACGCUCAUCUGGGUCGCGUCGAGGAGCAAACAAAGCGAUUGGCUGAGAUUAGAGAAGAGCUUGAGGGUAUCACUGAUCCAAUGAGAAAAGAAGUUACAGUAGUUCGAAAGAAGAUAGACACAGUGAACAAAGAGUUAAAGCCACUGGGCCAAACCUGCCAGAGAAAGGUUUACAGGAGAGAGAGUACAAAGAAGCGCUAGAAGCUUUCAACGAGAAGAACAGGGAGAAAGCUCAACUUGUUUCCAAACUAAUGGAGCUGGUGGCUGAGAGUGAGAGGCUGAGGAUGAAAAAGCUGGAGGAGCUAAGCAAGAACAUAGAAACCCUGCACUGAGAUGCUACUAAAUGUAGCCUUUUGGAUUGAGUGUGUUGAGACUAGAAUCACCCCCCCCCUUCAAUUGAAUGUUGAUACAAUAUCAUUAUGCGUUUUUUGUUUUGUUUUGUAUCAAUUUCACUGACUGAAUUAGUGAAAGAAUAUCUGAAUUAUAAAUACUCCAAAAGAUCCCGUCGUUGUAUUGUGAGAUGUGAUGCAUCAAUCAUCAAAUUCCAUUUCAAUGUUCCGAAAGCUCUUGUACAACUAAAGCCCUGCAUCAAACUUACCUAAUUUCAUCAUGUGUUUACUUUUCA